UUCGCCUGUCGUUUAUGAGGAUGAGUACCUCCGCAGGAGGUUCGAGCCUCGCGAAGCGAGACAACGUUGCUUCAGCAACGGCCCGUAGGGCGCGCAUCAAUGAUGCGCGUAAUCCUCUCUCGCCGACCA
This 129-nucleotide small RNA is filed under the name Serratia marcescens. Its description in RNAcentral is "RtT RNA". It matches the Rfam family "RtT RNA". Rfam says of the family: This family represents a bacterial cis-regulatory element known as RtT RNA. The record is from RNAcentral. RNAcentral also lists the same sequence under 1 other name. Lineage: Bacteria; Pseudomonadati; Pseudomonadota; Gammaproteobacteria; Enterobacterales; Yersiniaceae.